This 1043-nucleotide ribosomal RNA is filed under the name fungal endophyte. Its description in RNAcentral is "eukaryotic LSU rRNA". The stretch from base 459 to 1043 matches the Rfam family "Eukaryotic large subunit ribosomal RNA", at positions 1 to 590 of the family's 3401-position model. The record is from RNAcentral. Lineage: Eukaryota; Fungi.
UAUCGUAGGGCUUCGGCCCUGUCGAGAUAGAACCCUUGCCUUUUUAAGUACCUUUCGUUUCCUCGGCAGGCUCGCCUGCCGAUGGACCCCCCAAAAAACACUUUGCAGUACCUGUAAUAGUCUGAACAACAAACAAAAAAUUAAAACUUUCAACAACGGAUCUCUUGGUUCUGGCAUCGAUGAAGAACGCAGCGAAAUGCGAUAAGUAGUGUGAAUUGCAGAAUUCAGUGAAUCAUCGAAUCUUUGAACGCACAUUGCGCCCUUUGGUAUUCCUUAGGGCAUGCCUGUUCGAGCGUCAUUUAAACCUUCAAGCUCAGCUUGGUGUUGGGUGACUGUCCGCUGCCCUCGGGUGCGGACUCGCCUCAAAAUCAUUGGCGGCCGGUACAUUGGCUUCGAGCGCAGCAGAAACGCGAACUCGGAGUUGUUGUAUUAGCUCCCAGAAGCUAUCUUCAUAAUUUUGACCUCGGAUCAGGUAGGGAUACCCGCUGAACUUAAGCAUAUCAAUAAGCGGAGGAAAAGAAACCAACAGGGAUUGCCCUAGUAACGGCGAGUGAAGCGGCAAAAGCUCAAAUUUGAAAUCUGGCUCUUUCAGGGUCCGAGUUGUAAUUUGUAGAGGGUGCUUUGGAGUUGACUGUGGUCUAAGUUCCUUGGAACAGGACGUCGCAGAGGGUGAGAAUCCCGUAUGUGGCCGCCAGUCUUCGCCGUGUAAAGCCCCUUCGACGAGUCGAGUUGUUUGGGAAUGCAGCUCUAAAUGGGAGGUAAAUUUCUUCUAAAGCUAAAUAUUGGCCAGAGACCGAUAGCGCACAAGUAGAGUGAUCGAAAGAUGAAAAGCACUUUGGAAAGAGAGUCAAAAAGCACGUGAAAUUGUUGAAAGGGAAGCGCUUGCAGCCAGACUUGCCUGUAGUUGCUCAUCCGGGCUUUUGCCCGGUGCACUCUUCUAUAGGCAGGCCAGCAUCAGUCCUGGCGGUUGGAUAAAUGCCUGUUGAAUGUACCUCUCUUCGGGGAGGACUUAUAGCUUCGGGCGGCAUACAACCAGCUGGGAU